RNAcentral lists this transfer RNA (71 nucleotides) under Loxodonta africana (African savanna elephant). It matches the Rfam family "tRNA". Rfam says of the family: Transfer RNA (tRNA) molecules are approximately 80 nucleotides in length. Their secondary structure includes four short double-helical elements and three loops (D, anti-codon, and T loops). Lineage: Eukaryota; Metazoa; Chordata; Mammalia; Proboscidea; Elephantidae. The record is from Rfam by way of RNAcentral.
GCAGUGGUCAUUCAGUGGUAGAAUUCUUGCCUUCUAUGUGAGAGACACAGGUUUGAUUUCUGGACAAUGCA